Long non-coding RNA from Solenopsis invicta (red fire ant), 293 nucleotides. RefSeq lists it as uncharacterized. The transcript has 2 exons. NCBI's taxonomy places the organism in Eukaryota, Metazoa, Arthropoda, Insecta, Hymenoptera, Formicidae. The record is from RefSeq and is a predicted model, not a curated record.
AGAAUUUUCUUGGAUUUGAUUAAGUUGAGAAACUUGAUCACUUUUAUCUGUUCUAAUUAUUAAAUUUUGAUUUGGAAUGGCAUUAUGCUUUAAUCGUCUACGAUGCAAACUAAAAAUGUACGAGUUUUCAUUAAAAUGAAAAUAAUGUCCAGGAGCUCUAGCAGGAGAUGAGCAAUGUGGAAUUAUACAUUUCCAUCUCACUUUAUUGGCCAUUUUAUUCUAAAGUUAAAUUGUUCAAUAAAAUAAAAUUAAUAUUAUAAUGCAAAUGUUUUAUAUUCAAGGAAAAGAUUAAA